RNAcentral lists this ribosomal RNA (244 nucleotides) under uncultured bacterium. RNAcentral describes it as "partial 16S ribosomal RNA". It matches the Rfam family "Bacterial small subunit ribosomal RNA", at positions 533 to 776 of the family's 1533-position model. The record is from RNAcentral.
ACCGAGCGUUGUCCGGAAUCAUUGGGCGUAAAGAGCGUGUAGGCGGCCUUUUAAGUCCUGCGUGAAAUCCUGCGGCUCAACCGCAGGCGGUCGUGGGAAACUGGAAGGCUAGAGUGCGGGAGAGGAGAGUGGAAUUCCCGGUGUAGCGGUGAAAUGCGCAGAUAUCAGGAAGAACACCCGUGGCGAAGGCGGUUCUCUGGGACGGUACUGACGCUGAGACGCGAAAGCGUGGGGAGCGAACAGG